UUCUGAGAAACAUGUUUGUGC
This 21-nucleotide non-coding RNA is filed under the name Rattus norvegicus (Norway rat). Lineage: Eukaryota; Metazoa; Chordata; Mammalia; Rodentia; Muridae. The record is from RNAcentral.